Molecule: long non-coding RNA, 331 nt
Filed under: Androctonus crassicauda
Lineage: Eukaryota; Metazoa; Arthropoda; Arachnida; Scorpiones; Buthidae
Source: RNAcentral
UUUUAUUGCAAUUUUAAAUAAUUUUAUUAUUUUAGAUGCUACAAUGUUAUAAUGUAGACUGAUUUAUGUUGACAUUUUAUAUAACCAAAGACCAAAAAAAUCUCCAGUUUUUAACCCAUAAGUGGUUUGCUAGAAUAGCAAUGACAUCUGUGACAUAUAGGGAAGCAUAUCAGAAGACGCGAAUGGCUAGUUGGCCCUCAGUCAUUCUCCGAAAAUCCCACUUCACCCAAUUCCUGAAUUAUUUGGUUAUGCAAUUUUCUGAAUUUUCCAGAAAAUUGCAUAACCAAAAUAGGAUAGUCCUAAAUUUUUAUAAAGGGUGCAUAUGCUGACC